Molecule: long non-coding RNA, 694 nt
Organism: Sapajus apella (tufted capuchin)
Lineage: Eukaryota; Metazoa; Chordata; Mammalia; Primates; Cebidae
Exons: 3
Source: RefSeq, a predicted model, not a curated record
GUCUUAGUCGGGCGGGGGGAAAAACACAUUAAGUGAUGAAAUAAAAAGUAUGAAAGCCUAGAAUGUCAGAUAUUUUACACACAAAAAUACUAUAAUAAUGCUAGGCUACAUCAAUUAUAAUGGAACAAAAAGACUACAAACAUUAUAAAUGUGUGAGCACAGCUUUUUUAGGAAAUUAAUUAAAUAUAAAGAGCUAUUGAUGGCGGUCAUACGGCAAUGAGGUCAGCACCAAAGCCAGGCACAAGAGUACCCAUGGAUGAAUUUUCAACUGGAAUAAUCAAGCUUUAUUUACUUCUUGUGGCCAUCGUUUUAACCUUUUAUUUAUUGAGAUGCCAAGACAGAGCAAAACGGUACACAAUUAACCGGUUAAAUUUAUUUUUCACAAGGCCUGCUAAGAGAUUUGGUUGCAAUUACUCUCAAAUUGCUUUAGAAGGUUUGGCAAGUGAGACAAUACUAGAAAAAUGAGACAUUUUCAAGUCAUAUUGUUUUGAGAGGCAGGUCCUGAGAAGGUUCAAGUCCUAUAAGAAGGGUGUGCUACGCCGAGGUUGCUUUUCUGGGCGGGUUGGGGAUGCCAGACUCAAAAAGUCCCCCGAUCUGUACUCUGAACCGAGAUUCUGGACGUUGCUACCCAAUUCUUCAUAUGUAAAAAUAAACUGUGUGGUUGGGCAUGGUGGCUCACACCUGUGACCCCAGC